This 66-nucleotide microRNA precursor is filed under the name Folsomia candida. RNAcentral describes it as "mir-2 microRNA precursor family". It matches the Rfam family "mir-2 microRNA precursor family". From Rfam's summary of the family: The miRNAs are transcribed as ~70nt precursors (modelled here) and subsequently processed by the Dicer enzyme to give a ~22nt product. In this case the mature sequence comes from the 3' arm of the precursor. The extents of the hairpin precursors are not generally known and are estimated based on hairpin prediction. The record is from Rfam by way of RNAcentral. Lineage: Eukaryota; Metazoa; Arthropoda; Collembola; Entomobryomorpha; Isotomidae.
UCGCUCUCAAAGUGGUUGUGCUUAUGUGGAGUAAUUUCAUAUCACAGCCAGCUUUGAUGAGCGAUG